GCCAGGUGUGGUGGCUCACGCCUGUAAUCCCAGCAAUUUGGGAGGCCGAGGUGGGUGCAUCACCUGAGGCCAGGAUUUUGAGACCAGCCUGGCCAACAUGGUGAAACCCCAUCUCUA
Non-coding RNA from Homo sapiens (human), 117 nucleotides. It matches the Rfam family "Metazoan signal recognition particle RNA". From Rfam's summary of the family: The signal recognition particle (SRP) is a universally conserved ribonucleoprotein. It is involved in the co-translational targeting of proteins to membranes. Lineage: Eukaryota; Metazoa; Chordata; Mammalia; Primates; Hominidae. The record is from Rfam.